Molecule: ribosomal RNA, 253 nt
Filed under: uncultured bacterium
Lineage: Bacteria
Description: partial 16S ribosomal RNA
Rfam family: Bacterial small subunit ribosomal RNA
Source: RNAcentral
UACGUAGGGUGCGAGCGUUAAUCGGAAUUACUGGGCGUAAAGCGUGCGCAGGCGGUUUUGUAAGCCAGACGUGAAAUCCCCGGGCUUAACCUGGGAAUGGCAUUUGGGACUGCAAGGCUCGAGUGCGGCAGAGGAGACUGGAAUUCCUGGUGUAGCAGUGAAAUGCGUAGAUAUCAGGAGGAACACCAGUGGCGAAGGCGGCUACCUGGACCGGUUCUGACGCUGAGGCGCGAAAGCGUGGGGAGCGAACCGG